AUAAAUACAAGUCCGAACUUCAAGAUAUAUUGUGUUCUCAUAAACAAAACAAAAAAAUUCUCAAGUAUUAUUGCAUUGUGGAUAUGGAUUACUCAAAAACUUCAGCUAUCAAAUUUGCAAUCUUACUAAUUUUUGUGAUUACCAUUGCCUCAGAUAUGUGCACGAAAUCAGAUGCAAGGUUGGGUCCCGUUGUCUCUCUUCCUUGUGAUUUUACCGUGGAAUGUGAAGAUGCUAAUCCUCAUCAUGGUUGCAAAUGUGUUUUUCAUCAUUGUACAUGUUGAGCAAAUCCUCAACAAUUAAUGAACAAUGCCACCAUGUUGUUAACCUAGACAAUAUUGUGAUACAAUUUCAAAUAAUUAUUAAUAAAGAAUUGCAUUGUAUUGA
This is a non-coding RNA of Cicer arietinum (chickpea), 384 nucleotides long. NCBI's taxonomy places the organism in Eukaryota, Viridiplantae, Streptophyta, Magnoliopsida, Fabales, Fabaceae. The record is from RefSeq and is a predicted model, not a curated record.